ACAACUUUCAGCAACGGAUCUCUUGGCUCUCGCAUCGAUGAAGAACGCAGCGAAAUGCGAUAAGUAAUGUGAAUUGCAGAAUUCAGUGAAUCAUCGAAUCUUUGAACGCACCUUGCGCUCCUUGGUAUUCCGAGGAGCAUGCCUGUUUGAGUGUCAUUAAAUUCUCA
RNAcentral lists this ribosomal RNA (167 nucleotides) under Laccaria lateritia. Its description in RNAcentral is "5.8S ribosomal RNA". It matches the Rfam family "5.8S ribosomal RNA". From Rfam's summary of the family: 5.8S ribosomal RNA (5.8S rRNA) is a component of the large subunit of the eukaryotic ribosome. It is transcribed by RNA polymerase I as part of the 45S precursor that also contains 18S and 28S rRNA. The record is from RNAcentral. Lineage: Eukaryota; Fungi; Basidiomycota; Agaricomycetes; Agaricales; Hydnangiaceae.